Molecule: long non-coding RNA, 206 nt
Filed under: Lathyrus oleraceus (garden pea)
Lineage: Eukaryota; Viridiplantae; Streptophyta; Magnoliopsida; Fabales; Fabaceae
Description: Pisum sativum (pea) long non-coding RNA (PSAT_LNC010604)
Source: RNAcentral
CAAGAUUACUUAUAUCCUAUGUAGUACACAGAUUGAUCCGUCCAUUUCAACAUAUAUUUGAGAGGAAUCAGUGCUCCUUAGUUUAUGUUUUUAUAUUAAAAAAGGGUAUGAUGCUUAUGUUCUACACCUUGACCUUCUAAGAAAUCUUAUUCUCUCCUAAAGCACAAGAAUGUUCAUUUCUUGCAAACAGGAAUGAAUCCAUGUUU